This is a long non-coding RNA of Mauremys reevesii (Reeves's turtle), 459 nucleotides long. RefSeq lists it as uncharacterized. Lineage: Eukaryota; Metazoa; Chordata; Testudines; Geoemydidae. The record is from RefSeq and is a predicted model, not a curated record. The transcript has 3 exons.
GAGGGGAGACCUUGAGAGAAAGGGGUUACUGCCAAACAGGGCACCGGGUCUGGGAGGGACACAGUUGUCAGAGGACAGGCAGAUCACUGCCCUGCAGAGGGUGCCUAGAGCUGGAACAAGCUAAUUCCCAGAAGUCACCAGCAGGAGGCGCCGCAGGGGAUGCAUCACACCCAGUCUGCACGGAGAGAGACAUGAGUCUCCACCCCAAGAGUGGAGAUAUCUGGAAAGCCUGAAACCUUAAGUGGGUGCCCUCAAUGAAGAGGGAUCGAAGGAAAGAGGGUGUGGGUGUAACAUCUACAUCUUGACAAAGAAACAGCUUGGGGUUCCCAUCCACACAGACUUUCUUUCUCCUGAACCUCACCUGGUUCUCAGAGGAGAAGAAACUAUAAGACGGGAGAGCAGAUGCCCCAAAUUCUCUCUCCUUCUCUCUACCCAUGACAUUGACAACACUUGAAGAAC